AGUGAACGCUGGCGGUAGGCCUAACACAUGCAAGUCGAACGGCAGCACAGUAAGAGCUUGCUCUUACGGGUGGCGAGUGGCGGACGGGUGAGGAAUACAUCGGAAUCUACUUUUUCGUGGGGGAUAACGUAGGGAAACUUACGCUAAUACCGCAUACGACCUACGGGUGAAAGCAGGGGAUCUUCGGACCUUGCGCGAUUGAAUGAGCCGAUGUCGGAUUAGCUAGUUGGCGGGGUAAAGGCCCACCAAGGCGACGAUCCGUAGCUGGUCUGAGAGGAUGAUCAGCCACACUGGAACUGAGACACGGUCCAGACUCCUACGGGAGGCAGCAGUGGGGAAUAUUGGACAAUGGGCGCAAGCCUGAUCCAGCCAUACCGCGUGUGUGAAGAAGGCCUUCGGGUUGUAAAGUCCUUUUGUUGGGAAAGAAAAGCAGCAGGUUAAUACCCCGCUGUUCUGACGGUACCCAAAGAAUAAGCACCGGCUAACUUCGUG
RNAcentral lists this ribosomal RNA (492 nucleotides) under uncultured bacterium. Its description in RNAcentral is "partial 16S ribosomal RNA". It matches the Rfam family "Bacterial small subunit ribosomal RNA", at positions 29 to 507 of the family's 1533-position model. The record is from RNAcentral.